AUGCAUCGGCGGACCCUGUUGGGCUGGGCCGCCGGGAUCAAUGAAUUGCUUGGCCUGGAACGGCCUGGACUGGGGUUGGACUCGACAGUGGGCGAACUACGAGACUUGAUACGGUCUUACAACCCAGCGGUGGUUUUUUUGUCGGAAACGAAGAAGAAUGCUAGAGCUAUGGAGAAACUUAAGUGGAGGUUGGGUUUCCGCAAUGGACUGGCAGUGGAUUGUAAUGGAAAAAGCGGUGGGCUUGCGCUAUGG
Molecule: ribosomal RNA, 252 nt
Filed under: Triticum aestivum (bread wheat)
Lineage: Eukaryota; Viridiplantae; Streptophyta; Magnoliopsida; Poales; Poaceae
Description: partial small subunit ribosomal RNA
Source: RNAcentral